This is a small nucleolar RNA of Penaeus vannamei (Pacific white shrimp), 66 nucleotides long. The record is from RefSeq and is a predicted model, not a curated record. Lineage: Eukaryota; Metazoa; Arthropoda; Malacostraca; Decapoda; Penaeidae.
AAUGAUUAUGAUGAUCUAUAUACCGCCCCAGUCUGAAUGUCUGAUGAUGGUUUUCUCUGAAAGAAA